Molecule: transfer RNA, 76 nt
Filed under: Clostridiaceae bacterium
Lineage: Bacteria; Bacillati; Bacillota; Clostridia; Eubacteriales; Clostridiaceae
Description: tRNA-Asn
Rfam family: tRNA
About the family: Transfer RNA (tRNA) molecules are approximately 80 nucleotides in length.
Source: RNAcentral
UGGCCCGUAGUCCAGAUGGUAGAACGGCGGACUGUUAAUCCGUAUGUCGGGGGUUCAAGUCCCUCCGGGCCAGCCA